GAUUAUGGCUCAGGAUGAACGCUAGCGACAGGCCUAACACAUGCAAGUCGAGCGGCAGCACCUCGGGUGGCGAGCGGCGCACGGGUGAGUAACGCGUAUGUAACCUGCCCAUGAGUGGGGGGAUAGCCCGGUGAAAACCGGAUUAAUACCGCAUAAUACCAUUAUCAGACAUCUUAGAAUGGUUAAAGAUUCAUUGCUCAUGGAUGGACAUGCGUUGGAUUAGCUGGUUGGCGGGGCAACGGCCCACCAAGGCGACGAUCCAUAGGGGUUCUGAGAGGAAGGUCCCCCACAUUGGUACUGAGACACGGACCAAACUCCUACGGGAGGCAGCAGUGAGGAAUAUUGGUCAAUGGGCGGAAGCCUGAACCAGCCAAGUCGCGUGAAGGAUGAAAGGCAUUAUGUGUUGUAAACUUCUUUAGCUGUGGAGAAAUAAGGUGGUCGAGACCACCGAUGCUAGUACACAGAGAAUAAGGAUCGGCUAACUCCGUGCCAGCCGCUGC
This 500-nucleotide ribosomal RNA is filed under the name uncultured bacterium. RNAcentral describes it as "bacterial SSU rRNA". It matches the Rfam family "Bacterial small subunit ribosomal RNA", at positions 15 to 518 of the family's 1533-position model. The record is from RNAcentral.